GACGCUGCAGGAGCUUGGAGGGACUGCCCCCAACAGCAGGUACAUUGUGAAUGGAAGCGGGUGAGCCAGGGGCCCAGCAGACGCCGUUCUGUGGAAAUAAGUCUGUGGCCACUCAGUGAGUGAGUCCAGAUUUAAGAACAGUCACUGGAAAAAAUUUACUGUCCAUCUAAAUCCAUUCACAGAGAAUGAUCCAGAGGCCCAUCCAUGUGGACAUCCUUCGAUCCUCUUCCAGAAGCAGGAAGAGAUGACAUACCUCCAAGUCCCCCCAAGGCCUUUACCCUGUAUUCCAGCCCACUCGCUGUUGCACUGGCUCACACAGCUGCGCCUGGUCCCACACACAUGGGCAUAUCUCCUCUGUGACCCUCAAACAUCAGCCUCCCUGCUUCCUGGCUUGGGUCAUAUGCAGAAGCUUUAGGUCAUCUGGGAGUGUGAUAUCGUGCACUCCUGGAUCAAGCUCCAUAUUCCAGUGUUGAAGAGGACAGAACACUGAGAACAUAGUUCAUUUGGCCUCUUUGGGCUCAGAGGCUCAGUGACUUCGGAAGCCGCUUUGGAUUUCCCCAUCUUGCUCCCAUGAAAGUAUUAUGAGAGCUUUGGUGGAAUCUGAAGUCCUCACCGUGUUCCCUCCAGCUUCUGUGAGCCAGCACUGCUUUCCUCGUCAGCAGCCCACUUGCUCACCAUAUUCUCCAUAUAUACCAGACACUCUCAUCUUCUUUCCCACCAGUUGGCUUUUACGCCAACUGUUCCUGCUGACAAGAAUGCCUGACAUCUGGCCAAUUCUUCCUCAUCUUCUACAUCUCAGUGUUUGCUCUACUAUGCUGAGCAAGCCACCUUCAAGGAAAUACCUUCUUCCAUGCUCAGUGAGAGAGCGGCAGUUGGGUGCCCAGGGGUGAGAUCCGAGGCAUCAUUUUGUUAGCUGUGCAGAAGGCCAGGGAGUGAGGGCAGGGCCCAACCAGCAGGAACCUUCACCAGCCAGGUUCUGCCCACACCUGGAAGAAUUAGCCCAGCUGCUCAGGGUAGCUGUAUGCUGACACCUGGAAACUGCCCACAGCCUCUUAGCCUGGGUCCACCCUCAGAAGUGUCUUCUGACGUCCAGAAGCAACUGAAUGACACAGAAGCCUGGUAAUGUGUAAAUGCAAUCAAUUUUUAUACUCAAGGGAAAGUAUAAACUUUAUUUUAAGCUAAGUUCUUAAUGUUUACUAAGACUAUAUUUUAUAAAAAGUAAAUGUUAUUUUAUUAUGGGUAUAAUAAACUGAACUAGGGGGAAAGAGAGCCAAGUAUAAAGGACAAGCUAUAUCCUCUGGGGAGAUACUGAGUGCCAGGAAGGAGCUUGCUUGGUUUAGAGCCCAGGCGGGUGGUGUAGUAGGAGCACGGUACCUAGGAGGCCGACCUGGGUUUGAGCUCUUGGUUCAGGCCUGCUCAGCCCAGUCACUUCCCCUCUGUGGGUCCUCAGUUUCCACACUGUGAAGUGAAGGGCUUUGAUGAGAUAAUUCAGAUCCUUUCUAUUUUAACACAGUAUGAUUCUGAAGGAGGAGAAGGACAGCUAACUUUUAAUGUCAGGGGCCAGAGUAGUCAACUAGAUUAGAUGGGCUGUAAGUGACAGAAAACUGUAAGUAAUGGUGACUUAUACAAUUUUGAAGAUUAUUUUUCCCUCAUAGGAAAGCCUAGAGAUUAGCCAUCUAUGGAUAGCAUGGAAUAUCAGGGACCCAGGCUCCUUCUGCCUCUUUGCACCACUUAGAAUGGUGCCAAGUUCAUGAUCCAAGAUGGAGGUUAGCCAUCUGCUUACACUCCGUUGGUGAGAACUUAGUCUUAUGGACACACCUACCUGCAAGGGGAAUCUAUCAAGCGUAGUUUUUUUUGUAGAUAGCUGUGGGGCUCCUACUGCUGAGGAAUAAGAAAACACAUGGAGUGGGCUUGCCAAAAAGGGUUAAUUAAGGAAAUGCCCAAAAAUUAUAGAGCAGAAAACAGUACUUAAAAUGAAAUCAGAAUCAUUAAGAGUCUGCCUGUUUUAGAGUUUGGCCAAAAGGCAAGGCAAAUAGAGCAAUCGUCUUGCUCAGCAUUUUGGGGGAAGGCCGAGACUUUGGCUUGGCAUAGAAGGGAACGGCAUGGUCAAUAUGUGAAGAGAAAACAGACUCCUUAAGCCCUUCAGUAGACUUAGGAGGCAGGACAAGAAAGAAAACUAUGCUAAGAAAUAGGGGAACUCUGCCACUUAGCAGAGAGGGCCCAGAAUAAAAAAUUCUUUAAGCAAGACUGAAGUAAAGUUCAAGGGGCCAAAGCUUUACUCUCAGACGUAUGCCUACACUUUGCUUUCUGCUCUGUAGCUUUUACUCUGAGAUUUCUCACAUUCCCAUUUCUAUGUGUGAUAUUGCUGUGACUCAUGGAAAUGGAGAGAGAGAGAAGAAUUAGAAGAACGAGGCCUUUAGUCUCCUGGCUGUAGCCCAAAGAGGGCAUCUCCACCUUCUUCCCACUCUGCACAAGCUGGGAAGGGGCAGGGAAGCUGGUGCCCAGGGAAAGCUAGGCAACAAUGAGUGAAGCUUGAAGCAGGGAAGAAAGGGUCUGAAGCUUACACAGUUGCUUAUCUGUUACAAUACUUUAGACCUGGCCCUCCAACUCAGACUUCUGCACUAGGAGUUGAGGAUGUUCAAAGACCCACAACUCAGACAAGAAGAAGGAGACUAAGCCACUUGAGAGAUUUCUUUUCACUCACCCAACCAUCUCUCCUGAUCAUGGUCAUUUCCUCACCCACCUCUCUCAGUCCUUUAUCACUUCAGAGAAUAAAAAGCAGAGAAUGAAAAGAGGAGAGGAAGACAGUGAAAGGUAAUGAUCUGAGUUAGAUCUGCAAGCUGAUGUAAUAGUUUAACACAGUAGAAGUGUCUCUAUCACAUCUAACAGUCUAAUGAGUGAGGUGGGGAGGAGGAAUCCAGGGAGCUGUAGGCUUUUCCAUCUUCAUCGUAUAGCUGCCAUCAUUGUCCUGGGCACCAGUGUCCAGCAGAUGCUGGGGAAAGAGCAUGAGAGGCUGCAGGUGGGGAGCUUUAUCUGCAAGCCCAGAAGCGGCGCACUGCUCAUGUUCCAGUGGUCAGAAUUCAGGUGUGUGAGCACAUUUAACUCAAGGGAGACUGAAAGAUACAGAGUGUUUGCCCAGGAAGAGGAGAGAAUGGGUCUGUAAUCAGCUGGUAGCCUCAGCCAUAGUGGACGUGAGAGGGAAAGGCAAAUAAAAUACUCUGGAGGCGAGUGACCAUGCAAAGUUAACCUUGUCUAAAGAAGGGCUUUGGACCACAGACUACAUGAGGAAACGCAGUCUUUGAAAAAUCACUAAUUUUCUCAAAGAGGACAACCUUGGUUCUCAUUUGUUUCCCUUUCGUCCAUGUUGGGACCCCAGUGUUCAAAUCAGACUCAGCAACUUUAGAGUUACUGUGCUCUGCUAGAUGCCCAGAAUGUUAGGAUUGCUAAGAACCCUAAUGAUAAUCAGUCACAUCCAAAGACCCUUGAAACCUUCUAUACAGCUCCUGACAAAGGACUACUGCCUGAAUGCCUCCUAUGCUGGGGAACUCUGUCUUAUAAGACUGCCCGAGCCAUUACUUCAUUAAUUAAAUAUCUUUGUAAUGCAUUUCCUCUGUCAGGCACCAAGAAUACAAGGUGACAAAAUGCUAGGCCAUUAAGAAUUUCAUAGUGCAGAACAAAUUUGUCUGCUAGCUUCAUUUGUCCAAUAGUCACGUACUUUGCUUCUGCUGAUGGUACUUGUCACUUCUCUCCAUUGCACAGGUCACCCCGUCACCUGGGUGAUAUAUCAUAGUCCUGUUUCAGACCUCAGCCUACCUCACUCCAGUUAUUCCUAGAAAAGUCCAUUCCAACUCCUAUGGGGUAUUUAAAAACUGCCUACAGCAUUUUUCAAAUCUUCUUCUCCUUAGAGGAUGUUUUGGAGUCAGUCAUUUGUCUGGUUGCAAAACUGCUUCUCCUCUGCCUGUCCAUUUUGGGUUUCUAAAUUCUGCCCCUGGGUUCAGUUCAGAACCUGUAAUUGGAUCAUUCAGGGGCUGACCUGCUGUGCAGUGUCGCAGUGUUCUUGUCUAUAUUCAUCUUGGAACCAACCCAUCUUGGAACUCACUUUUCAUUGCAAAACUUGACUGUGCUUCUUAUUUUAAAACCACUGCAUCUCUGAAAAAAACUACCACCCAUCGCCAAGCCACUUCCCACUUUGUGUUGCCAGUCCAAAAUAUAAUUUGUGUUUAGAAACCAAGGUACUUUCAAAACUGCUUUGGAGAUUUCUAAAAGUUCAGGUUAAAACACUCAGGAUCAUCAUCCCUGACUUCCCCCACCCACUACCCACAGCAUCCUUACUUUAGAGUUCCAGGUCUGCCACAGAUAAUCUGCCCAAUCUGUUUGCAGCAUCACCAGAAGGAAUUCUUCUCUGAUUAAUGUGUCAAAUUCAACUGUGAAGUUGUCCUUUGGGGAUUGAUCAGCAAGAGUUGUUCCUAAAUGUCCCUAUUUCACCUUUUAGGCAAAGCCCAUUGUGUUUUUAAGCCCCACUCACUUCCUUCUACUGGGCUGCCCUAUUCUAAACUGGAAUGUCCUAAUGACGUGAGGGGAAAUCAAGUGACUAGUGGGCGCUGUGUAUCCAAUGUGUAUUACCUGGUUAAGUCCUCCCCGCCAUCCUAGCAGCCUGGCUGUACUGUCCCAUUGCUGCUGAUGAGGAAAUGAGACAGAAUCAGGUUGGGUAACAUGUCUAGGGCCUGGUAAGUAGAAUUCACAUUUGCAUAUGUCUGACUCCAAAGCCUAAGCUCUUUCGCCUGCUCCAAUUAAUUAACUUCCUUGUUUGAAGGCUGAAACUCAUCAGGCAUAUUGCCUUGGACCAGCCAGUUAACCAACUCCGCACCUCAGGUUCCUUUCAAAGUGAAGCAGUGGGGCCAGAUGAAUGCUGAGGUCCCUCCUCUCUAACAUUCUCUCUGUUCCUAUCGCUCUCAGGCUAGUGGAAGAAAUAAAUAAGCCAAACUGAAGCAACAGAAACAAGGGUAAUACUAACAAUCACCACUUCCUGAGGGCCUAUCCUAUAUGGGGCGAGUGAAAACUUCACUUAUUUUAUCCUUCUAACAAAUCUGUGAUGUUCUUCUUAUUAUCCCACUUUUAUAGAUGAGGAGACUGAAGAUCAGAGAAGUCAGAGAUAUACCGAAAGUCACCCAGCCAGUAAGAAACAAACCCAGGGGUAUUUGAUUUCCAAGCCCAUAGUCACGCAUCCACCAUGCUACGUUGGGGGAAGGGGGGAAGGAGGGAGCAGGACACGCACUGUCAGAAAUGGUCGUUUAGGUCUGGGGAAGUAUCUACACCUGGCAGAGGGAUCCCGCGACAAGUCAGUUGGGAUGAGAAAGGGUGCUUGGGAGGACCAGGUAAUUAAAACCCCAUCUCAGUCUCCCUGACUUUGCUCCCAACUCUGGGCAGAUGUGUUCCUUAUGUCCAAGCACGGAGUGCUGUCCCAGCAGGAGCUUGGCUUGGUACCCAGUCUUGCUCGUGAUAGCCGCUUAGGCCCUAAGUCACAAAACCUUCUAUCUCAUUGCUUUUUUAUCUCAUCUUAUUACUGGGUCCAUACUUUUUCUGACCUCUUUGAACUUCAUCCCAAAUUGCCAGACCCCCAGUCCAAGCAUUACCAUACCCAAUGGAAGUGGGGCGAAUGGAAGUUCCCAUGGCCAGGAUCCUCACUUGACCCUAAACUACUUGAGGAUGUAAUUCACCUACUGCUCUGUUAAUGCUUCCACACCCUUAGGAGUGAGCUAUUAUUGACUGAGACACUAUAUAAAGAGCUCCACCCAAUGCUCUGGGCGGAGGCAGAGACGGAGGUGGAUUAUGGACCUGCAGACUGCUGGAUGCAGAUGUGAUUCUAGUGCUCAACCUAGUGCUGUGAGAAUAAAGCUGGGUAUAAGCCCUUUUAUCCCAAGAAUGUUCCCUUGUCAUUUCUCAGUCUCACUGAAUCCAUAGUGAACUUGCCUGUGGCUGAAAUCCUCAGGCAAGACCCCAAGACUCAGGGGCUGCCUGAAAGGUUUGCAGGAGUAUGAAGUCAUCACCAGCCAAAAUGGAAAAGGAUAAUUAAUGGGAAAGGAAAAUGGGUCUCUGAAGAAUAAGCAAGGGUCCAUUGUUGGAUAUUCUAAGCUGGUCAGCUGACUGAGAAAGAGUGGCCAAUUAUGAGGGGUGCUCGGGCAUGGUGUGAGGAUUGACAUCUACAGGCUGAAGGUUCCAGAAGGGGGACUAGUCAUGUUUACUGAGGCAGGUGUGUGGCUUGGCAGAGCACAGAGAUGAGCUUUGGGACCUGGUCCAUCUGAGUUGGGAUAAUACUUGGCUACUUCCUAUUUCUGGUUCAACUCACAGUCCCAGUCAGAGGAUGCCUGGAGCCUCACCAGAUCAGGGGGCGGUGCUGUAAACAUUAGAAAUAAUGUGCACAAUGCUCUAAGCACCCUGGAGAGGCAGAACAGAGGUAGGUCCUGUUACCAUUAUUAAGGAAAUAGCAUGAAAAAGGCUUUUUCCUGCCAUGAGUGCUCAAGCAAUCAUCGCCAUUUUUCAUGCUGUUUUCUUGUCUGAAAGUUGGGGGCGUGAUCAUUUGAUGAGUAAAAGCUGACAAUACUCAACUGGACCCGGACAUUCAGUUUCUGGAGACAACAUGGACCCUCUACUCCAAGCUUCAGGGAAGGAGUCACACAGCC
Manis pentadactyla (Chinese pangolin) is the source of this 6680-nucleotide long non-coding RNA. RefSeq lists it as uncharacterized. The record is from RefSeq and is a predicted model, not a curated record. Lineage: Eukaryota; Metazoa; Chordata; Mammalia; Pholidota; Manidae. The transcript has 5 exons.